Molecule: ribosomal RNA, 468 nt
Filed under: uncultured bacterium
Lineage: Bacteria
Description: partial 16S ribosomal RNA
Rfam family: Bacterial small subunit ribosomal RNA
Source: RNAcentral
GACGAACGCUGGCGGCGUGCUUAACACAUGCAAGUCGAACGGAAAGGCCCUGCUUUUGUGGGGUGCUCGAGUGGCGAACGGGUGAGUAACACGUGAGUAACCUGUCCUUGACUUUGGGAUAACUUCAGGAAACUGGGGCUAAUACCGGAUAGGAGCUCCUGCUGCAUGGUGGGGGUUGGAAAGUUUCGGCGGUUGGGGAUGGACUCGCGGCUUAUCAGCUUGUUGGUGGGGUAGUGGCUUACCAAGGCUUUGACGGGUAGCCGGCCUGAGAGGGUGACCGGCCACAUUGGGACUGAGAUACGGCCCAGACUCCUACGGGAGGCAGCAGUGGGGAAUAUUGCACAAUGGGCGGAAGCCUGAUGCAGCAACGCCGCGUGCGGGAUGACGGCCUUCGGGUGGUAAACCGCUUUCGCCUGUGACGAAGCGUGAGUGACGGUAAUGGGUAAAGAAGCACCGGCUAACUACGUG